Molecule: ribosomal RNA, 392 nt
Filed under: uncultured eukaryote
Lineage: Eukaryota
Description: SSU rRNA
Rfam family: Eukaryotic small subunit ribosomal RNA
Source: RNAcentral
AGCUCCAAUAGCGUAUAUUAAAGUUGUUGCAGUUAAAAAGCUCGUAGUUGGAUUUCUGGUUUGAGCGUCCGGUCCGCUUCCUCUGGAAGUGCGUACUAAGGAUGUUUGAGCCAUUUUUUGUGAGGAUGUUCUUCUGCCAUUAGGUUGGUGGUUGAAUGGACUUGCAUCGUUUACUGUGAAAAAAUUAGAGUGUUUAAAGCAGGCGUUUGCUCAUUGAAUACAUUAGCAUGGAAUAAUAAGAUACGACCUUGGUGGUCUAUUUUGUUGGUUUGCACACCAGGGUAAUGAUUAAUAGGGACAGUUGGGGGUAUUCAUAUUUCAACGUCAGAGGUGAAAUUCUUGGAUCGUUGAAAGAUGAGCUUAGGCGAAAGCAUUUACCAAGGAUGUUUUCA